Molecule: ribosomal RNA, 421 nt
Filed under: uncultured bacterium
Lineage: Bacteria
Description: bacterial SSU rRNA
Rfam family: Bacterial small subunit ribosomal RNA
Source: RNAcentral
UGGGGAAUAUUGCGCAAUGGCCGCAAGGCUGACGCAGCGACGCCGCGUGCGGGAGGACGCCCUUCGGGGUGUAAACCGCUGUUGCCCGGGACGAACGAGGGGACCUAUCCCCUGUGACGGUACCGGGUGAGGAAGCACCGGCUAACUCCGUGCCAGCAGCCGCGGUAAUACGGAGGGUGCGAGCGUUGUCCGGAAUCACUGGGCGUAAAGGGCGCGUAGGCGGCUCGGUAAGCGGGCGGUGAAAGCUCGGGGCUCAACCCCGAGUCGGCCGUGCGGACUGCCGUGGCUUGAGCACUGUAGAGGCAGGUAGAAUUCCGGGUGUAGCGGUGGAAUGCGUAGAGAUCCGGAAGAAUACCGGUGGCGAAGGCGGCCUGCUGGGCAGUGGCUGACGCUGAGGCGCGACAGCGUGGGGAGCAAACAG